GCCAGACUCCUACGGGAGGCAGCAGUGAGGAAUAUUGGUCAAUGGGCGGGAGCCUGAACCAGCCAAGUCGCGUGAGGGAAGACGGUCCUAUGGAUUGUAAACCUCUUUUGUCGGGGAGCAGAGAGGCCACGUGUGGUCAAAAGCGAGAGUACCCGAAGAAAAAGCAUCGGCUAACUCCGUGCCAGCAGCCGCGGUAAUACGGAGGAUGCGAGCGUUAUCCGGAUUUAUUGGGUUUAAAGGGUGCGUAGGCGGGACGGUAAGUCAGCGGUAAAAAGGGGGAGCUAAACGCCGGCGAGCCGUUGAAACUGCCGUUCUUGGGUGAGCGAGAAGUAUGCGGAAUGCGUGGUGUAGCGGUGAAAUGCAUAGAUAUCACGCAGAACUCCGAUUGCGAAGGCAGCAUACCGGCGCCCGACUGACGCUGAGGCACGAAAGCGUAGGGAUCGAACAGGAUUAGAUACCCCAGUA
RNAcentral lists this ribosomal RNA (465 nucleotides) under uncultured bacterium. Its description in RNAcentral is "bacterial SSU rRNA". It matches the Rfam family "Bacterial small subunit ribosomal RNA", at positions 330 to 792 of the family's 1533-position model. The record is from RNAcentral.